Molecule: microRNA precursor, 167 nt
Filed under: Medicago truncatula (barrel medic)
Lineage: Eukaryota; Viridiplantae; Streptophyta; Magnoliopsida; Fabales; Fabaceae
Description: MIR2619 microRNA precursor family
Rfam family: MIR2619 microRNA precursor family
Source: Rfam by way of RNAcentral
AAACAGCCCCCUAUGUUUUGAUUAUUUGGCAGUUUUGGACCCCCAAGGCAAAAAAAAAAAAAAAUUGACGCGUGGCACUCACUUAGGGUGCCACGUCAGCGUUGACCGGGUCAACAAUGGACUGGGGGUCCAAAACUGCCAAAAAGUUAAAACAUAGGGGGCUGUUU